This 46-nucleotide non-coding RNA is filed under the name Schistosoma margrebowiei. Lineage: Eukaryota; Metazoa; Platyhelminthes; Trematoda; Strigeidida; Schistosomatidae. The record is from RNAcentral.
GUGCUGCUGAGGAGUCCCACAAUAGGACGAAACGGUUGUCCAGUGC